Non-coding RNA from Caretta caretta (loggerhead turtle), 1344 nucleotides. Lineage: Eukaryota; Metazoa; Chordata; Testudines; Cheloniidae. The record is from RefSeq and is a predicted model, not a curated record.
UUCCGGGAGCGGUGCGGCACGAGAGCAGGCGCAGGGCCUGCCUCAGCCCCGCUAUGCACUGCUGCCAUCCUGGAGCCACUUGAGGAAACCAAGCUGCAAACACAGGAAGUUUUUGUGGGUCACGCAGCCUGCUCCUUACACAGGCAUGGCACUUCCGGAAGGGGGCGUGGAGAAGCAGACUUCUGUCAUGUUAUUGAUACCAACAGGGAACAGCAAAAAAAAAAAAAAAAGUCAAAGAAAGCCUAUUCUCCUCAGCUCAGGAAACAGGCUCAUGCAGGACCAGCCACAGAGGGCAGAGGAGGCCCGCUGGGAAAUUAUGCCUCAGAUCUGCUGGCACUGUACCUCUGAUACUCAAAUUGGUAGUGAAGCUGGAAGCACCAUGUGCUCUGUACUUUACCUGCAAACAGCACACACGCCUGCUGCUCAACACUUCAUUUGCAAAAGCCUUUCCCCCAUAUUAACGAGGGCAGCAGCACAGCUGGUGUCUCCAGAAAUUACAGAUUCAAUGCUUUGUUUUUCCUUUGCAAGUAGUUUCAUUGUUUCAGGGUGACUUUGGGGCUGGUACAAGAUGCCAGACUGACAGCUCUGGGGACUGAAGUUCUCCCCGUACCCCGGAAGAGACACGAUCAUACGACAAACCUUCUGCACCACCCUCGUAAGCCUUAAUCACAAACUGCAAGAAUCACCUAGGAAAGAGAGCACAGUCCUGUCUCCAUGGCCAAUUCAGUCCUUGAUUUCCUCUUGAGGCACCCCACAAGAGGAUAACACAACCGGUGCAAGCUGUGGUUUUGGUGACAUGGACAACUGUGUAGUAGACCCCAACUCACACAGGGAUCCCUGGACUGAGACUCCAGCUCACAGGAGUUUCUGAAAUGUAUUGUUUGUUAGAACAAAUAUCAAAUAUUUCACUAAUCCCAUGCAACCAAACAACCUCAUCAACAGACCAGCACAGCAUUAACCUAGUUAGAUUAUAAACUCUUUAGGGCACCGCCCAUCUCUGUUAUAUUUUGUACAGGGCCUAGCACAGUGGGCCUUUCGGGUGCCACCACAAUCAUGAUCUGCAACCCUAUACAAUAACAAACAGGGACUGAGGAGAACAAAGUAGCAAGGAAAGCGAUUGCAGUUUCAAGCCUCCAACAAGAUCUUAGGAACAAGGAAGGGGAAAAAAUGCAGAAAGCCCUUUGGCUGUUUCCCUUUUAAAUCACCAACUGGACAUGUGAGGAGAGAGAAGAGGGAGUGUACAGAGCACAUGUUCUUAGCCUAAGGUGCCACAAGUACUCCUUUUCUUUUUAUGUUUACAAAUAAAACCCAGAAGGACAAUCCUUGCUGGGAAGUGGCUGUCAA